UACGGAGGGGGCAAGCGUUGUUCGGAAUUACUGGGCGUAAAGGGCGCGUAGGCGGCCUUUUAAGUCGAGCGUGAAAUCCCCGGGCUCAACCCGGGAACUGCGUCCGAUACUGGCAGGCUUGAAUCCGGGAGAGGGAUGUGGAAUUCCAGGUGUAGCGGUGAAAUGCGUAGAUAUCUGGAGGAACACCGGUGGCGAAGGCGGCACCCUGGACCGGUAUUGACGCUGAGGCGCGAAAGCCAGGGGAGCAAACGGG
Molecule: ribosomal RNA, 253 nt
Filed under: uncultured bacterium
Lineage: Bacteria
Description: partial 16S ribosomal RNA
Rfam family: Bacterial small subunit ribosomal RNA
Source: RNAcentral